CUGAGGCGGAGAUGAACGGUGCCUUCUGACGUCAUCGGAACAUUGCCACCGGUUGAAACACCAGCGUUUGUUUACGUUAGGCGGCGCCUCACUUGCCUCACCCCCAAAACCGCCACUGUUAAAAAACGAAUUUAAGAAAAUCAUUACUUUACGCAACUAAUUUAAAUUUUAUUAUAUUUGAGUGGGCAAGGUAUGGAUUUUAGAGGUCACAUCGAAAAAGAAAAUUUCUUGAAUCAAGGUAACUUUAAAGAAGUAUGCAAAUUACUUGAACAUUUUUGUAGUACAAACUAUUCUAAAUGGUUUAUACAAAAUCAACUCUUAAGUAUUUGUGUUGAUUAUGUCAGACACAACAUUAUUUUGGAUGUACAAACAAAUGGUUUUUUUGCAUUAAUGUGUGAUGAAGCUAGGACUAGAAAUUCGUGAACGGUUCUUGGGAUUUUUGGAGGUAUCUAAAAAGCAUGAUGCUGAUUAUCUGAUUACUGAAAUUUGAAAUUUUUACAAAACUCUGAAUUAAGUCCCUUAAAUAUAAUUACUCGAUCACAUGAUGGCGUGGCUGUUAUGUCAGGUCAUUUAGGAGGCGUACAAGCAAAAAUUAAGGAAAAAUACCCCACAGCGAUUUUUACUCAUUGUAUGGCACAUCAAUUGAACUUGGUUGUGGUUGACAUGUGCAAUUAUAUGACGAGUGCAAGGAGUUUAUUUAAUGUUUUAGAAUCAAUACAUAUCUAUUUUUAAUUUCCUUCGAAAAAUGUUAAGCUACAAGACAUACAAAUUUAAUUGGGGUUAAAAAAUAGAUCUAUGACUCAUUUAUCUGACACACGUUGGGUUUGCAGAUAUAAAAAUUGUGAUGUGGUUUUAAAUAAUUUUAAAGCAAUUCUACAAGUAGAUAUUAAAUGAAGAAAUUGAAGCCAAUUAUGAUAGAAAUGUCAGUUAAGCUAUUGGUAUUUAUUCAACCAUAACUAAAGGAUUGUUUGUCGUGCACUUGUUUAUUUUUCAUGAUGUAUUAAUUGUAAUUAAUAUACUAAGCAAUAAAUUACAACAAAAAACUGCAACUCUAGGAAAAGCAGCAGGAAUUAUUAAAACUGUGAUUGAGACUUUUGAAAAAAAUAUAAAAAUUAUAAUUUAUUUUUGGUAAUAUGGAGAAAAAUAAAAGAGUUUGCUGAAAAUCAAUAACAUUUCUUUAGAAAAACCUUUGAAAAAUUCUAAAAGAAUAAGAAAAGAACCACAUAGUUUGAAAGAAUUUUGUCUAAAUACAUCAACAUCUGCUGAUAGUAUAAAUCUUGAGGAUUCUGUUGAAAAUUAUUGGAAAAAUAAAAUAUAUUUUGUCAUA
Molecule: long non-coding RNA, 1327 nt
Filed under: Sipha flava (yellow sugarcane aphid)
Lineage: Eukaryota; Metazoa; Arthropoda; Insecta; Hemiptera; Aphididae
Description: uncharacterized LOC112685722, transcript variant X3
Source: RNAcentral